Neofelis nebulosa (Clouded leopard) is the source of this 1240-nucleotide long non-coding RNA. RefSeq lists it as uncharacterized. NCBI's taxonomy places the organism in Eukaryota, Metazoa, Chordata, Mammalia, Carnivora, Felidae. The transcript is spliced from 2 exons. The record is from RefSeq and is a predicted model, not a curated record.
GGCGGCAGGCUUGGAUCCCGCGGGGAAAGGCUUUGGUAGAGCCCGUCGGAGCAGUAGGAGAGAGACUCCCGCCCAGAUGGGCUCCAAACCGGAACUCCAGAGGGCCCUUCUGAUGUCCCUCAGUUCUCUCCUGACCUUGAGGAUGCCUGUCCCAUUUCAGAGGCGAAGCCACUGAGUCUCUGAGUCUCGCCGUCUUGGAACAGCUGCCGCGUGUCUGCUUAUCUGGUUCAUGCUUUCUAAUUUUCAGGAAACGCUUAUGGUCUGAGCUAGGACUUCCAGGAAAGUGAAAGAGCAGGAAGAACUGAUGGAAAAUCCACAUGGGGAAAUGCACAAAGUUGAGGAUCCUGAACAGAAGAUUUAAAAACCUCCGGGAUCCAGUGUUUACCACAUGCUCUUCAGGAGCCACACUUAAAACAGGAAUGAGCUGGUCCCACUGGGCCACAUGAUGGACCCAGAGGAGAGUGCUCUUACAGACAUCCCCUGCCUCCUCCACAGCAAGGCAGACUGGCCCACCACAGAGACCCAAUCCACAAUGAACACAGGUGACACUCGGCGAGCUCAGAGACCCUUUACUACCUAAGGCAGGAUCCUAGCCCCAAGAGAAAAAAAAAAAGUCAAGAUGAAGGAUAAAGAGGACUGGAAAAGAAACUUCCAGAGGUUGACAGAUUUUCAAACUCAUUGAAGAUAAUGUGCCCUCUGUGACCAACAUGUCUUGGGACUGGCAUGGGACAGAUGUCAGGAACGGGAGCUAGACUAGACCCAGAGCUGAACCAAGAGAGAAAAGAGGAAAUUGAUGGUCUAGUUCCUUUGAGAAGCACAACGUGGACAAGAAACCCAUGGAAAAGGGUCCAUGGUCUGCCAGGGAGUUGAACAAUUCCAUCCAAAAAAAGUUUGCUGGGUCUUCUGGCUGGGAAGAUGUUGGGGGAGAGGAUCAAGAGGAGUGGCCCCUGGUUGACCCUCCACUAGUACCUGGGCAGUCAAAGCCUUCUCACCUCCUCCCUUGUCCUUGGAAUGUACACCCUGUUUAGUGUCUCCACUGUGGGGGCUGUUCCAAGGACAUAACUGUUGAGAGUAUAAGGUGUUGAGAACAAUUAAAUGGCAUACAUGCCUGAACCAAGUUAAAACCUCUCUAUAAACUUUAAACAUUUGUCAGGUGGGUGCAGAGAUCUACUUGUUUUGUGGCCACCUAAAACAAGCCUCUCAUAUAUGUUCCCUUGUUUAUUAAACCUGCUACCUACUA